AACAGAUUAGUUAAAAAAGAGAAAGAGAACUAAGAAAAGAAGGGAGAGAAUUACUAGUCGUGAAUCCCCAAGCCCGAGACCAAUCAAAAAGAGUCCCACUAAAAGAAGCAAGCAUCUGAUCACCGGAACUAUUCAAAUCCUCAAAAGUCUGCUGAUUCCGUUCCUUCCAUAUACACCAUAGGAUGCACAACAAUACUAAGUUCCAAAUCUGAGACAAAUGCUUCCCCACCUAAUUCCACCAACCAAAAAGCAAAUCUGGGAUCGAUCUAGGUAUAACCCAAGACAAACCAAAAGUUAUUAAGGCAAAGCUCCACAACCGAUGAGCCAUCUCACAAUGAAGAAGUAAGUGGCCUACUGUCUCUCCACAAUGUCAGCACAUAAUGCACCAGUCUACCAAAACCAAUCUCCUUAAUCUCAAGUUAUCACCCGUUAAGAUCUUAUUCCAAGCUACACACCAAACAAAAAAAGAAACCCGUCUAGGUGCCUUUGCUCUCCAUAUACCUUUCCAAGAAAAGACCAUUUAGGGAGAAUCCCGCAAUUUGUUAUAAUACGAUCGGAUGUCAAACUCCCCAUUAGCUCCCAAUAUACGAAGAAAAUGCAGCCCUUCAUCCAUAUCCCAAUCAUUAAGUUCUCGAAAAAAACGAACAUCCAAAAUUCUUCUAUCCUCCACCCCCUGCCUUGACAAACAGCUUUUACAGAUGCCUCCUUAUCAAUGGCAAUACCAUACAGCCUUGGGAAAGCCAAUUGGAGAGGUUGAUCCCCAUGCCACCUAUCUUGCCAAAAUCUUACUCUAUUCCCCAACCCAACAACAAACUGACAAUUUUUGCUAAAAUCCUCUCAUCCCAUAUGAAUACCUCUCCACAAACCACACCCAUGAACUCUCCUUCCUAGCUUUGAGGUCCAUCCCCCCUAAUUUUCCCCAUAUUUCGAAACUACCACCCUCCUCCAUAACCGAUCCUCUUCCUUCCCAAACCACCACAACCAUUUUCCCAAUAAAGCCUUAUUGAAAGUAAUAAGUUUUCUUAUCCCCAAGCCACCGUUAGCUAUAGGUGCACAAACUUUAUCCCAUCCUACCAAAUGAGUCUUGCUAUCACCCCACAGAAAAUCCCUUUGCAACUUUUCAAUUUUAUUAGCCACAUAAGUAGGAAUAGUGAAUAGAGAUAGAAAAUAGGUAGGAAGACUAGAUAACAUACUCUUAAGUAACAUCAAACGACCCCCUUUAGACAAAUACAACUUCUUCCACCCGGCUAAUUUCCACUCAAUUUUUUCCAAAAUAGGAUUCCAAAUUGAAGGGAAGUUAUGCGAAGCCCUCAACGGCAUGCCAAGAUAAGACAUAGGCAAAGUUCCAACACUACAGCCCAAAAUUUCAACCAGGGCAUGCACAUCAUCAACCUCCCCUAUUGGAAUUAUUUCACUCUUGUGCACAUUGACCUUCAAACCUGUUACCGCCUGAAAACUGAGUAGCAACAACCGAAUAUGAAGAAUUUGCUCCACAUCUACAUCACAAAAUAGGAUAAUAUCGUCUGCAAACAAUAAAUGUGAAACACUUUCUCCACUACCCCUCCUACCCUCGACUUUAAAACCACGGAUCAAGCCAGCUCCCUCCACUCUUCUCAACAUCCUACUGAACACCUCAUUCAAAAUCAAAAUCAAAAUCAGCAUAGGAGAUAGCAGAUCCCCUUGUCUUAAACCCCUUGAACUACCAAAAAAAUCAGCUGGAGACCCAUUAAUUAAAACAGAGACCUGAACUAUGGAUAUACAAGUACGGAUCCACUUACACCACUUCACUCCAAAACUCAUUCUAUUCAACAAAUCCAACAAAGCCUCCCAAUUCACAUGAUCGUAGGCCUUCUCAAUAUCAACUUUACAAAUGACUCCAAGAACCCUGCUCUUCCCUCGGCUAUCUACACACUCAUUCGCAAUAAGAACCAAACCAAGGAUUUGUCUCCCACCCACAAAACUAUUCUGAGUCUCAGAGAUCAACUAAUCUAAAACCACUCUCAAACGAUUUGCCAAAACCUUAGCCAAGAUUUUAUACACACUCUCCACCAAGCUAAUAGACCGGAAAUCUCUGUGUGCUUAGAAUUGAAACCUAACAAACUAUACAAGGUUUACACUUUGCGUAAGUCCAGCAGCUUUAGCUCUUUGAAUGCACAAGCUUUAUGUGUGCUUUGAGUGUGCUUGAUUUGCCUAGCUUUUAAACUAGUUCUGUCUAUAGUAUCAAUGGGUGGAAUUCAUAGUUUUUUCAUUGAAGUUAAGCUUUUUUGGUUGAGGAAGGAGGAAAUUUUUUCUCCUUACACUUCAUGAAGUCAGUGUUCAUGGACAAGAAUGCAACAUUAUGGUUGAUGAAGAAUAUAGAACACACGGUGGUCGGAAUUAAUCCCAAACAGUUUUUUAUGUUUAGAGAAGGAGAUACCGCAUACACUUUGCAGCGGGGAGCAAACUCCUUUGGUCAGUUCUUUUUAGUGUCUGAACUCAAACUUGGUGGGCAUAGAAGAUCUGUCAUAAUUCCUAGAGGCAAAGCACAAAAUGGUUGGAAGGUCUUUGGACUGAGGAAGAUGUUGGAACCUGGUCAAUAUGCUUUAGGUGAUUCAAGCCAGGCCAAAUUUGUGUCUCAGCCACAGAGGAGAAUGUCGGGGUUUCAUCCCUCUCGGUCUUUUGUUGAGGCACUGAAGGUUCAGGUGCAGCCAAGGGAUGUGACUCACUCACAACAUUUUACAACCAAGUAUAUGGUUAAAAAUAUGAUUCAGGGGGAGUUUUUGGAGAGGCAGAAUUAGUCAAAGGGGUUGUUGGCGAUGAAUCAGAAACUUACAGGUGCUAAGGUGGGGGAUAUUCUGGUGGGCAAGCCUGAUACAAUGGUGGUGGGAGGAAGGGAUAGGAGGGAGCAGUGCAUUAAUGUGGAUACAAAAUUAGGUGAGCAAAUUCUGGUAGAAAAUAGGAAACGUAUCCCAAUAAGAUUUAGUUUGAAUUCAAAAUCAGAUGAAAAUGGGAAGAGGAGUGAUAUAAGGAGAUCAUGCUAGAUAGGGAGUGGCCUAAUUGUGGAAGUUGAUGUGGAAGGAGACAGGUUUCCUGGGACAACAGUAAAGGGGGAGUGAAAAAUUUUAAAUGGGUAUCACGGGCUCAUAUAAAGGAUGUGGUGGGCCUAGACACUAACUGUGACCAACAGGUGGGCUUCCCUAACUUAGAGCUCACAGGCCCAAUUAGGAUGGAAGUGGGUGAGAGCUCCUUGUUAGCUGACCCAAGCCCACCAAAGCCAGAAGCCCACAUGUCAGCGAUGGUGGUGAUGGCCACUGCCCUUCACAAAGCUUCAUUGAGUCAGAAUGAGUUGGGUCAACUUGGUGAGCUUCAGAAGGUGGUCGACGUCACAGUAGAUGGGGGAUCUCAAGCUGAGAAGCUACCGGCGCCAGUGAUUCAGGUGCGAAAUCAAGCAUUGGCAACGGCGACGGGUGUUGAUAACUGUGAGAUCAUGGUUUGUCAUAUCGAGACGAUGGGUAGGCUCAUGAAGCCCUCGAUGGUGCUAAGUGUACUAAUUCCGAUGGAUUUAGUGUUGAGGAGCCAUUGAUGAUAUUGGACAAACCCGAUGCAGAUCUUACCCACUCCAUGAGGAUGAUGAAGAACCCUGAUGGUGAUUAUGAGAAGAUGGUGGGUUGCCUUGAGGAGUCAUCGCUGGAGAAGGUGGGUAUCGUGUAGGGCCCAAAACAGUUAGUAGCCCAUGACGUUUAUAACUUAAGCCCGAUGACCACAAGCCCAAUUAACACAGAGGCUGGGGAAUGCUCCAACAUUUAUUCAAGCCCAUUCUCUACUCCCGAUGGGUCUAGAGAGAAGCCCACGGUAUUUCCUAAUUGUUUAGUGAUGCCAGUAGAGAUGUCGAGGAGUAAUUCUGAAGGAAGCUUCUCGGUCUCUCAAUCGCAAGUGUCUUCACAAGUAGGGGCUCUCCAGACCGAUGCAGAUGGAGGUUUGGUUACUCAUCCAUGGAGUGCUUCGCCGGUAGGAGUGUCAGGGCUGCACAGAGUAUCUUCAGAAAAUGAUUUUGGGCUCAAAAAUGCUGUCGGGUGGGAUGGUUUCUGAGGAUACGAGGUCAAUCACUCUCGAAUUUGUGUCGAGAUUGAUUGGACCAUCUUUUCCCAAGCAUUUUUUGGAGUUUUGGCGAGUUGGGUCAGUGGGUUUUGGAGCAUCGGGUCAAGAGGUAAACUCCUUUUCUAGUAAGGAACUCUUGAGCCUUUCUGGGGAGGUCAUGGUUGUGGAGGAUGUAGCUGAUUUUUCUACGGGCUUUGGUGAAACAGAACUGACAGAUUGUUUACCUCUAAGGAUUAUUGCUCCGAGCGCAUCGACAACUUCGGCAAAGUUGGAGGAGGUCAUUGAGGCAUUGAGUAUUGAGGCUAAGUUGGAUAUUUCUAGGUGGGUGAAACACAAAAUCCCUGGCUUCAGUAAAUUGGUUGGGUUGUCAAUGACUUGGCAUGAGAAGUUGUGCAUUGCUCUCUUACAAAGGCUAGAAACUGAGAUGGAGGCAGCCAAUGUGUUACACCGGAAAGGAACAAGUAGCCAAAAAGUGGCUAAGUCCAAAAACAAGGGACGUAGAGAGCUACGAAACUUGAUCUCUUCGGUGAAUUAUGAUGGGAGAUAGAUGAUUGGUUUUGUGUUGGUGUCAGUAGGUGGGGAUAUUUUUGUAGUAAUGAAGAUAAAAAUGAUUUCGUGGAAUGUUAGAGGUUUAAACGAUCCUCGGAAACGACUUGGGGUGAAGAAUUUGUUGCGGGAGUAGAAGUGUGAUGUUGUUUGUUUACAAGAGACGAAAAUUGCUAGUAUGAAUAGACAGCUAGCUUGUAGUUUGUGCAGCUGUUUCCAUAUGUGGAUUGGGCUGUUUUGAAGGCUGAUCGGAUUGCUGGUAGUAUUUUGAUUAUGUGGGAUAAAAGGGUUUUGGAUAAGGUGGAGAUUAUGGUUGGUACAUUCUCAGUUUCGGUAAAGUGGCAAGGGGUGGAGGACGGUUUCAUAUGGGCAUGUUUAAGGGUCUAUGGCCCAAAUGAGAAUAACGAGAGGGGUCACAUGUGGUAAGAGUUGGUGGGUAUUCAGCAGUAUUGGAGGAUACAGUGGUGCUGCUUUGAGGAUUUUAAUAUUGUUCGCUUUCUUAGUGAAUGUAGGGGUGAGACACGUUUAACCCUAACUAUGGAAACAUUCUCUGAAUUUGUUGAGGACCUAAACUUGAUUGAUUUGCCUUUGGAAGGAGGUAGCUAUACAUGGUCAAGUGGUACUGAUCAACCAGCGAUAUCUAGGAUUGAUAGAGCUUUGGUUACUCCAAAUUGGGAGGAACACUUCCCAAAUGUUUUUCAAAGGAUUCUACCCCGUCCUAUCUUUGACCACAGUCCAAUUCUUUUGGAGGCAAGGGGAUUGGCAAGGGGGAAAAGUCCGUUCAAAUUUGAAAAUAUGUGGUUGAAAAUAGAGGGGUUUGUGGAUAAAGUUCAAUCCUAGUGGAAUCGGCAUUCUUUGUAGGUACACCUAGUUUCGUGCUUGCCAAAAAAUUAAAGGCUCUAAAAGAGGACAUUGUACAAUGGAAUUGCUGAGAGUUUGGUAAUGUAGAGCAUCAAAAGAAACAAUUACUGGAGGAGUUGACAAAAUUAGACGCUAAGGAAGGGGAUUUAGGUCUCACUAAUGGGGAGAAAUGGCAUAGGGCAAAUUUGAGGUCCCAAAUGGAGCAUCUUCUUUCCUUGGAAGAAAUUUCUUGGAGACAAAAAUCUAGGAUGUUAUGUAUCAAGGAAGGGGAUAAUAAUACCAAGUUCUUCCAUAAAAUGGCUAACUCCCAUAGAUGGUAUAAUCAUCUGAAGACCUUGGAGGUGGAUGGGGUGGUUUUUGAGGAGGAACCCAAGGUAACUAAUCAGGUAGUCCAGUUUUAUAAAAAUUUGUACAAGGAGUCUAAAGGGUGGAGGCCUUUUGUGGAGGGUUUGGAGUUUGGUCGUAUUGGGGAUAUGGAGAGGAUUUGGCUUGAACGGAAGUUUGAGAGAGAAGAUACUUCAAGUCGUAAGUGAGUUGGAUGGGGACAAAGCUCCAGGUCCAGAUGGGUUUACUAAGGCGUUUUAUCAGCAUUGUUGGAGAGUAGUGGAGAAAGAUGUCUUAGCGGUCUUUGAAAAUGUUUUUAGAUGUCUUAGUGGAUAACUAAAAUGAGCAUUUUAGAUGGAUAAGUACAAACACAAGGAGAUAUGAUAUUCAGUAUGAAGAAAUCCGCUUAAAGAUAGGGGGUGAAGAAUCGCUUGAGAUGGUUUCGUCAUGAGCAGAGAAGAGUGAUUAAUGCACCAAUGAAGAAAAGUGAGUUAUUUGAGUCAAGUCUAUUAAGGAUCUAUAGCCAACCUCAAAGUUUUUAGACUAAGAGUUGAUUAUUGUAUCUUAGGUAGACUUCCAUAUUUGCAUAAUCUUCAAAUUUGAGGAGAGGAAAGUAACAGAACUAUGUAUCUAGCACGAAAAGAUGAUGUUCUUUCAAUAGAAGGAUUAAAAACCUUUUGCGUAAUCCUCUAAUGUCAUUUUUUUUGUUGGGGGUGAGAUAGAGAGAGAGAGAAAUCAAAAUCUUAAGCUAUUAAGUAAAGCAAGAAAGCCUAUGACAUCAAAUCAAGAAUAAGACAUAAGCUAUCCUUUGUCUCAAGUAUAAGCUAUCAGACCAAUAACUCGUUUAUUAAAUAAGGAAUUAUCAAACAGUAAGUGCACAAGGACACAUUCAAGAAAAGGUGCAUUUCAGAUUUUCAACUCCAAUCAGUAAUAUCAAACAGAAAGUGCGAAACAGCACAAAGUACAUAUUCAAGAAAAGAUGCUCCUGAUAUUUCUACAAAAUUGCAUUAAAGAAAAUUAACAAAAUUUCUUUGAUUUAGAUUUUUAUUCUGGAACGAAGAAUAUUAAAGAAAAAUAAUCCACUUAUUAAGCCUUAAACAAAAAUUUGCCAAUAUUGAGGCGAAAUUAUUCCAUAAUUUUUCAAUCAAAACGACAAAACCAGAAACCCGUUUCCUCUUAUAAUCCUUCACUUUCUCUCCAACCAAACAUGCAAAUAAACCAAACCCAGUUCACUUAUCAAUCAAACAAACGUAUCUCAAAAUCAGACAGCGCUUCAACACCCAAGAUAAAGAAAAACCCAAUUCUCAUUUUCAAUCAAACCAACCGAUUUACCAAUAGAAUCAUUGAAAGCAC
Molecule: long non-coding RNA, 7161 nt
Organism: Quercus lobata
Lineage: Eukaryota; Viridiplantae; Streptophyta; Magnoliopsida; Fagales; Fagaceae
Exons: 2
Source: RefSeq, a predicted model, not a curated record